AGAGUUUGAUCCUGGCUCAGGAUGAACGCUAGCGGCAGGCCUAAUACAUGCAAGUCGAGGGGCAGCACGAGUACUUGUACUUGGUGGCGACCGGCGCACGGGUGCGUAACGCGUAUGCAACCUACCUUAUACAGAGGAAUAGCCCAGAGAAAUUUGGAUUAAUACCUCAUAGUAUCAUUUAAAGGCAUCUGAAGAUGAUUAAAGAUUUAUCGGUAUAAGAUGGGCAUGCGUAAGAUUAGUUAGUUGGUGAGGUAACGGCUCACCAAGACUUCGAUCUUUAGGGGUUCUGAGAGGAUGAUCCCCCACACUGGUACUGAGAUACGGACCAGACUUCUACGGGAGGCAGCAGUAGGGAAUAUUGGUCAAUGGGCGAGAGCCUGAACCAGCCAUGCCGCGUGCAGGAAGACGGCCUUCUGGGUUGUAAACUGCUUUUAUAUGGGAAGAAAACGGCCUUGCGAGGCAAAUUGACGGUACCAUAUGAAUAAGCACCGGCUAACUCCGUGCCAGCAGCCGCGGUAAUACGGAGGGUGCAAGCGUUGUCCGGAUUUAUUGGGUUUAAAGGGUACGUAGGCGGCCAAUUAAGUCAGUGGUGAAAGCCAGCAGCUCAACUGUUGAACUGCCAUUGAUACUGAUUGGCUCGAGUUCUGUUAAGGUAGGCGGAAUUGAUGGUGUAGCGGUGAAAUGCAUAGAUACCAUCAGGAACACCGAUUGCGAAGGCAGCUUACUAGGCAGAAACUGACGCUAAUGUACGAAAGCGUGGGGAUCGAACAGGAUUAGAUACCCUGGUAGUCCACGCCGUAAACGAUGCUCACUCGCUGUUGGCGAUACACAGUCAGCGGCCAAGCGAAAGCGUUAAGUGAGCCACCUGGGGAGUACGCUCGCAAGAGUGAAACUCAAAGGAAUUGACG
This 908-nucleotide ribosomal RNA is filed under the name marine metagenome. Its description in RNAcentral is "bacterial SSU rRNA". It matches the Rfam family "Bacterial small subunit ribosomal RNA", at positions 8 to 915 of the family's 1533-position model. The record is from RNAcentral.